This 335-nucleotide long non-coding RNA is filed under the name Cyanistes caeruleus (blue tit). Its description in RNAcentral is "lncRNA (ENSCCEG00000013979.1)". The record is from RNAcentral. Lineage: Eukaryota; Metazoa; Chordata; Aves; Passeriformes; Paridae.
CAUCCUUGCUGUGAGGAGGAGGAUUCUCUUCUGAGUGCUGCAUUGGGUGCUGGUGCAGGGCUGCCUUCUAAAGAAAGAGAGGACGGGAAGGGACUGCUAAACAUGAAGAAACUUCCUGCAAAGCCACCAGACUGGAAAAAGAGGCCUGAAGAAGGGUUUGUGUGCUUGAAAACCAGCCUGCUUUUUCAAAUGCAUCAGACAAUACAAUAAAAGAUGUUGAAAGAGAGCUUGUGGUGAUGGUAUCCUUUACAGCAAAUGAUACAAAAGUGGUGAAAGCUACAGGGUAAUGUAUUUAAAAGUAAAGCAAUAAAGCAAAACUACUGAAUAUACUUCCA